AUCGAUGAAGAACGCAGCGAAAUGCGAUAAGUAAUGUGAAUUGCAGAAUUCAGUGAAUCAUCGAAUCUUUGAACGCACCUUGCGCCACGUGGUAUUCCACGGGGCACGCCUGUUUGAGUGUCACGUAAACCCAUCGUGUCGCGGAUUGUCAUGAUCUGCGGGGCGGAUUUGGACGCUGCCGUAGUUGGCUCGUCUCGAAAUGCAUUAGCCAGUCCGAGGACGCGCGCCACUGGUGUGAUAAUUCACUUUGCGCCGCUGGUGUGUCCGACGAAGGCUCAUAAUCGCCCGCAAGGGCAACAUUUUUAAUGCUCUGGCCUCAAAUCAGGUGGGACUACCCGCUGAACUUAAGCAUAUCAAUAAGCGGAGGAAAAGAAACUAACAAGGAUUCCCCUAGUAACGGCGAGUGAAGAGGGAAAAGCUCAAAUUUGUAAUCUGGCGGUCUCUGGCCGUCCGAGUUGUAAUUUGGAGAGGCGUCUUCCGUGUCGGACCACGUACAAGUCCCCUGGAACGGGGCGUCGUAGAGGGUGAGAAUCCCGUUCACGACGUGGACUACCGAUGCUAUGUGAUGCGCCCUCGAAGAGUCGAGUUGUUUGAGAAUGCAGCUCAAAAUGGGUGGUAAAUUCCAUCUAAAGCUAAAUAUUGGCGAGAGACCGAUAGCGAACAAGUACCGUGAGGGAAAGAUGAAAAGAACUUUGGAAAGAGAGUUAAACAGUACGUGAAAUUGCUGAAAGGGAAACGCUUGGAGUCAGUCGCUUCGUCGGGGAUUCAGCCGGGCUUCUGUUCGGUGUACUUCCUCGGUGAGGGGUCAGCAUCGAUUUCGGUUGCGGGAAAAAGGCGUGAGGAAGGUGGCACCUCCGGGUGUGUUAUAGCCUUGCGUCAUAACCGUGAUUGGGAUCGAGGACCGCAGCGCGCCCGCAAGGGUUUGAGGUUCGCCUCUAAACACGCGCUUAGGAUGCUGGCGUAAUGGCUUUAAGCGACCCGUCUUGAAACACGG
Molecule: ribosomal RNA, 994 nt
Filed under: uncultured fungus
Lineage: Eukaryota; Fungi
Description: eukaryotic LSU rRNA
Rfam family: Eukaryotic large subunit ribosomal RNA (bases 312-994)
Source: RNAcentral